This 492-nucleotide ribosomal RNA is filed under the name uncultured bacterium. RNAcentral describes it as "bacterial SSU rRNA". It matches the Rfam family "Bacterial small subunit ribosomal RNA", at positions 28 to 521 of the family's 1533-position model. The record is from RNAcentral.
GAUGAACGCUAGCGGGAGGCUUAACACAUGCAAGUCGAGGGGUAAAUGGUAGCAAUACUAUGAGACCGGCGGACGGGUGCGUAACGCGUAUGCAACAUACCUUGUGCAGGGGGAUAGCCCGUGGAAACGCGGAUUAAUAUUCCAUAGUCCAGCUAUAUCGCAUGGUAUAGUUGGUAAAGAUUUAUCGGCACAAGUUUGGCAUGCGUCUGAUUAGCUUGUUGGUAGGGUAACGGCCUACCAAGGCUACGAUCAGUAGGGGUUCUGAGAGGAUUAACCCCCACACUGGUACUGAGACACGGACCAGACUCCUACGGGAGGCAGCAGUGAGGAAUAUUGGUCAAUGGGCGGAAGCCUGAACCAGCCAUCCCGCGUGAAGGAGACAGCCUUACGGGUUGUAAACUUCUUUUCUGUCAGAAGAAUAAGCUUGUCGAGACGAGUGAUGCCGGUAUGACAGGAAUAAGCAUCGGCUAACUCCGUGCCAGCAGCCGCGGU